GGCCUCUGCUGGGGUGUGCAACAGGUCCUGCAACUGCGUGUGCCGCCCCGCGCCGCGCCGUUGGAGGCACGGGUCUCGCGACGCCGCGCAACGGCGGUCCUGCAGCGCUGUGCGUUGGAGGUCCUACGAGAGGUCCUGCAGUGGGGUCCUGCAAUGGCGUGCGCAGCGUCGCGCGGUAGAGUCCUACAAAGGGGCCUGCCGUGCUGCGCAGCCGUGGCCCUGCAAAGGGGGCCGCAGUGCUGCGCAACUCCGUUUGCGCUGUUUUGCGAUGGACUCGCAACGGGGUCGGCGAGGGGUGCGCAGUGGGGUCUGGAAUGGGAUUGCGGCGGCGGUCUCAAACAUUUUGCAAUGAAUUUGCAGCGGGGUGCCGCAGUGAGGGUCUGCAACGCCCACGAGAGCUGCCCGUGCUUUGGGCCCUGGUAGGAGCGCAGCUUCCACCAACCCACCCCAGGUGAGGCACAAAGUGCUGCCGCACGGCCGGGCCCCUGCCAGGCCCUGGAGCUUCAACCCGUGCCUUAAGGGUCUCCCGUAUCGCCAGGGCCAGGCAGAGCUCCGCUGCUCAAAGGGGCAGGGCGGGAAGGCUUCGUGCACAUCCCGGCCUCAAUCGCUCCAGACGCAGAGAGGCCGCCGGUCGCAACCCCUCCCCCAGCCCCGGCGCCAGGUGCUGUGCUCAACCUUCUGCACCGCUCCAGCUGUGAGCCUAACUGCUGUGAGCCUGUCCGUACGCUUCCCACGUCGGCACCAGCCAUGCCCCAGAACUGCUCCCGAGCAUUAUUACAAGGCACGUCCCCUCCUGAUAACAAUCUGAUAACCUUAUGGAAAUAAUCACUGUGCUGGCACAGCUGUCGUGCCUGGGAAAACUCGUAUUUGCAUAAGCAAAAGGGAUAACUGGACACCUCCGUGCCUGUUUGUCAAAUAAAUUGCCGAUUUCGAUGUGCAAACAUACAUUUCUAUCGUUUCUAUCCACGUUGGAAAGUUUGCCCAGCAGGAAAACCACUCGUCGAGGUGGCAGGAAAACCACGCACGGCCACAGCAGCACCACGUGUGGGUGCCGUCGGGCAGCAAUAACACGCUCACGCCACAGGUGGCCUCACAGCACGCCCUGGCAGGGGCUGGCAGAGCUCACGGCACAUGCACUGCCUGCUGCUUGUGUGUGAUACCGCGAAAAGAUGCCCACCGCGCCUGCAAACAGCACAGACGCGCCUGCUCCGUGCCCCACCAGCAGCCGUCCCAUAGGGCAGCCGUGCUGGUAGCAGCCACCAUGUCAGCCCAUGAUUGAUCCAAGACAGACUCUUGAAAAUGAGCCACUGGCAUUGCAGCUCACAGAGAGGCUGCAGUGCUUUUAUUUUUUUACCUUUGUGCACCGGGAACAGCGCGCACUAUGGGCCGUGCGGGAAGUUGCAGUGUUCCCACUGAUGGCACUAAUGCUACCCUAUGGAAAUCUCCUUAAACCCAGCCCUAUAGGAACGGUGCACAACAAGGAAUAAUACCAAACAAAGCCGAAGUUUGGGCAGGUGUUGGCCAAAGGACUGGGAGAACGGAAGAAAGGACCUGGUUUAGGCUGGUUUUUUUCCCCUGCCAUUCCAUGGUGGCUGAAAAGCCAACUACGAGAAACCCCCUCAUCCACACAUAGAGAUGUUUUCUUCCUCUUUUUCCCUCCUCCUUUCCAUACGGCUCUAAUGCUGUUGCCUGGUAAGUGCCUCAGUGCCUCCACAACUUGUAGUUCAACCGCUGCGCAUACGUCCAUAGGAAAGCCACAGUCUCCUGAGUGUACCCAAACCAUACCAACUCUGUUCCAAAGCCGGAGCGGACAAACAAGACAAAACAUGGCUCCUUCUGAACACCACAGAUUGCUUACUGCACGUCAGCAGACUUAAACUAGAGAUAAAACUCAGCCCGCUGCGUUCACUGCGUGCACAGAAACGUGGAAGCACAUUACAGGAACAGGACAUUUUUUCCACAAGGCCUGUAGCCACAGUGCCAACAGUACUGCCUCCACCUCCUGUGCCUGUGCAGAACCCACCAGCUAUCACAGCUCUGCACACAGCAAGGGAGAAUGGCAGCUUUGGGGGAUAAUAGACAAAUAGAGCUUGAAAACGUCCUACCUUUAGCAGCUCUUGCAACGGAUGAACUUUUGCUCGAUUAUGCUCUCCUAGUGGAAAAUAAAAAUACAGUUUGUUUCUACGCCCAUGGUUGUGGAUAAACGUGAGCAGAGCUUAGCCCAGUUGUAGCUGCCCAUAUCUGCAGAUCAACAGCUCUGUAACUCUUUUGCCUUUCGGACCUCUUUCAAGAGGGAUAAUUAAGCUUGCCUGCUGCCCUGCGCAUUUUGUUGUUAGCUGUGAGCAGCCGGGACAGCUCACAGAACUCUGAUUAGUUCUGACUCAAACUCUGCACACAGGUGUUCUCAUAGGCAGAGAGGUGCUCGGGGAAGACUGAAGGUCACCCAUUCACACAGUGUAAAAGUUCAUCCGCAGUUCCCACGUGAAGGCAGAAGUCCUUGCCCUGACAGGCAACCGUACCAUUAAACUGCAAAACCCGAGGCCAAGACGGACAGCAAAGCAACGUGGGGACUAAAUCAUGGCAUUGGCUGAGCGUAAGCCUGGAGGCCACGAGCCCCAGAAAUAAACAACAGCUUCUGAGAACUGAGGCAGGGAAACUCUGACAAGCAUCUGUCUUUCUUGCAAGAGGCUCAUAUAUCCUGUGGGCUGUCAUUUCACGUCGUAUCAUACCAUAGCAGAACAACAGUCGCUUUGAAACGUACAUACCUGGAAUCCCAGCACAUUUCCAGCAGAAGAAAGUCACGUACUGCGGAGACAGAGGGCUGCGUGCUCUGACAGAAGAAUGCAGGUAGAAUCACACAUGGUAAACGAAACUGGGAGAAAACUGAAGUGAGGAAGUCUGAGCUCAAGAGAGGCGCUAAGGGUGGUGCUGCCAAAAGUCACGCUCUCUUCCAUGUCACCUGCCUGCAAAAGGUGCCAUUGCCUCCUUGUUUCAUCAGUGCGUAUUCUUCUGGUAUAACACAGAACCUCGUUCCAGGCACCUGCAAAGUUCAGGCACUGUUCAGGACAGAACUGGGAAGCUGAGAGAGCUCUGUACUGUUCCAGACACGAUGAAAACCUGGCAGGAUUCGGCCUUCCUACUUUUGGCGGGGAGAGGGAGCGUGAGAGGGGAGGUGGAGGAAAGGGACUCUUGAAAAAUAUAUUUGUGUUUCCUGUUAAACUCGACUAUUUGGGUGUUCAAAUGAGUAUAACAGGAAAUCUAAAGAGAGGUAAUGCAUUCCUUGUUGCAACUGAUGCUUGAAGGCCAGGCCUACGUGGCUUUUCAGUAGGAAUUUUACGAAGAGUAAUUUGUAGUUGGUCAGGUAAUGAAAGAAGUAAAAAUUACCUAAAACUGCUGGGAAAUCACAAAUGGUGUAUGGGUACAUAGUUAGAUGAGAGCUACUGAACUGAGUUUCUGGAAUCGUCAUUACCCAAUUUGUAGCAGUAAAUAUCACCAUGUAAAUCCCAACCUUUCCUCAUCCUUCCCAGGGGGAACCAUGAAUACUUCUUAUCUGGCCCAUAUUUAGGAAGACAGUCUUAGAAAACAGAAGAAGGAAAAGUCAUCUGGCAGUGUAGGAGCCACAGAGGCUAGCUGGUGUUCUAGUCUGAUCACAAUUGCAACCCCAUUGGUAAUUUCAGUAUAGGGCAAUAUUUCCUCUCACUGCUUUUCCUCUGCCACGUUUCGGUAACAACAAGCAGUAAUUGAGCUCACAGGGUUAGCUACUUGAUAUUAAAACAACUCUGUAAAGUUUCACACUGUCAAAAUUCAGAAUUUUGCAGCUUUGCAAGGCCCAGUGGAUGGCCUGGCCGCUGUGAACCUUAAUCCAGAUUGCAAAUGCUCUCUUUGUUCUGGCUUUUCCGCUCCUACACCCAUAACACGUUACAUCCCACAGACAGCCAGUCAGCAAGCAUUGCUUCCAGCGUUGGAAAUGGUCUGUGGAAAUGGGGGACCACCUCAACGAGGCAUCCUGCAGGAAGAGAAACACCUCCCAAAGCAAUGCGACAGUUCUCAACAAUAUGCUUCCAUGGCACUGUGUACUAAGCGGUAUGCAUCUGCAACUCGGGGCUGAAAGGAAGAGUACAUAAAGACUACAGCACUUUAAAAGGACAGGGUUGCAAAAUUAAAAGGAGGGAAACGAACAACAGCA
RNAcentral lists this long non-coding RNA (4186 nucleotides) under Gallus gallus (chicken). RNAcentral describes it as "lncRNA (ENSGALG00010024065.1)". The record is from RNAcentral. Lineage: Eukaryota; Metazoa; Chordata; Aves; Galliformes; Phasianidae.